UACGUAGGUGCGAGCGUUGUCCGGAAUUACUGGGCGUAAAGAGCGUCGUAGGUGGUUUGUCACGUCGUCUGUGUAAUUCCGGGGCUUAACCUCGGGCGUGCAGGCGAUACGGGCAAUACUUGAGUGCUGUAGGGGAGACUGGAAUUCCUGGUGUAGCGGUGAAAUGCGCAGAUAUCAGGAGGAACACCAAUGGCGAAGGCAGGUCUCUGGGCAGUUACUGACGCUGAGGAGCGAAAGCAUGGGUAGCGAACAGGAUUAGAUA
RNAcentral lists this ribosomal RNA (262 nucleotides) under uncultured prokaryote. RNAcentral describes it as "partial 16S ribosomal RNA". It matches the Rfam family "Bacterial small subunit ribosomal RNA", at positions 524 to 784 of the family's 1533-position model. The record is from RNAcentral.